Dromaius novaehollandiae (emu) is the source of this 607-nucleotide long non-coding RNA. NCBI's taxonomy places the organism in Eukaryota, Metazoa, Chordata, Aves, Casuariiformes, Dromaiidae. The record is from Ensembl.
UCUGUGAAAUAUGUUUCUCCUAUGGCUCUCCUCCAAGGAUCCCUUCUACUCUCUGAAAUAGCCAAGAGCRCUAAGACAUAUGUGGCAAGAGACUGGAUAUUUUAAGAAUUGAAGGAAAGGUAUCUCCAUGGCCCUGUGCCUGCCAGAAAACUGGACUGCAGAAUGUUUCCUCCUCCAUGGCAUGGAGUCACGUGUGGAGGUGCUCCGGGAAUUCCUAGAACCUUGUGUUCACCUUGAGUUGGGACAGGCUGCUGCGAAAUCCCCUGGUGAGACAGCAGAGGAUCCUGGAGUCUCCAGAUCUGUGGUCUGCCUCAACAUGACUUCUCUAUGAGAUUUUUCUAAAUUAAUUCAAUUCUCUCUUUUAUGUGCCUGCUUAUUAUAACAUUUUGCCUCCUUCUUAAACGUGCUUCACGUAAAAGAAAAGGGAAAAUGAUUCAACAACAGUUAUAGUAAUGUUCCACUUGUGCAUUUUGUUUUAUAUGUGCUAUGUCUGGCUGUGUUUCAAGURAUUGUAGAGAUACUCAAAACAUUUUUAAUUCUCCCAGUUGAAAGUGGAAAGUACAGGGCUGUGAAGAACACAGAGAAAAUUAAACUUUAGAAUUUAAAU